RNAcentral lists this transfer RNA (83 nucleotides) under Dreissena polymorpha. RNAcentral describes it as "transfer RNA leucine (anticodon UAA)". It matches the Rfam family "tRNA". From Rfam's summary of the family: Transfer RNA (tRNA) molecules are approximately 80 nucleotides in length. Lineage: Eukaryota; Metazoa; Mollusca; Bivalvia; Myida; Dreissenidae. The record is from Rfam by way of RNAcentral.
GUUGUCGUGGCCGAGUGGUUAAGGCGAUGGACUUAAAUUCUUUUUGGGAUCUUCCAGCGCAGGUUCGAAUCCUGCCGACAUCG